This is a non-coding RNA of Malus domestica (apple), 1225 nucleotides long. Lineage: Eukaryota; Viridiplantae; Streptophyta; Magnoliopsida; Rosales; Rosaceae. The record is from RefSeq and is a predicted model, not a curated record.
UUGAGGGUCACACUUUAAACCCGACCCGCCGCCUCUUAUCACCACCGCCAGCGCCACCGCAAGAAAAUGAGCAAGAGGGUGUCCGGUCCCAAGCUGAGGCGUAUGUAUUGGGGUUUGGGUCGACUCCGGUCGAUUCUCAUGGCGACGGCGACAAUUGACAUUGCUAAUUUGCAAGUGUUUGUAGAGAAUGGAGGACGGACAUUGCUGAGCUAUCUGGGCCUGACUUUCGAGGUUUGCAUUACAUCGGUGGAUGGUAAACUAAAAUCUGCUGGUCGACAUUGUUCUCGCCUGCAAAGUACAUGGCUUUCGAACUACAUAUGGACAACCUAAAGCUAGCGCUCUCGUAUACUUGUCCCCAGAGACCUUGCGGUUGCGGUUUCAGAUCCCCUGCCACUGUUCAACUAGAACUUGGUCUGGUUGAUACAUUUCUCAGAUUUUGUAGGCUUGGAUGGCAAGCUGGCUGGUUGAAAUUGAUUUCAGUUUCUUUUGUCCUUUGCUCCUCACCCAACAGAGUUGAACAGAUACUGCUUUAUUUUGGGUUCGAACAUGUAACAGCUGCUGCUGCCUCUCACAGUGUUGGUAAACUUAUGGGAAAAAGCAGAUGGGGCACCUUUCGCGAGUCAUAAUGUACAAAAACGUCAACCACUACCUAUUUUCCUUGAGCUCGUCCGAGGCCCGUUUAUCUCUAGGGUUACAAUUCAUUGAUUUCCUUGGCGGGAAAAGCUCUCUGCGGAUAUCUGCAAACAGUUCAACUUGAGCUGAGAAAGUCCUUAGCUUGGAGGCAUUGCCAGAUCCUAUAUUACAUGUUUGAGAACGGUUGAUCAUUUUUUAAGCAAACCACGAGGCAGUAAAAGUAAUUUCAGCUUCGCAUCUCUCUUGGGUACCACCAAUGACAUCGAGUGAAGAACAGGCCGCCCUGGUGAAUUUCUUCCCAGUGCUACCUUGCUCUGUUUAUCUGCUUUUCCACAUAAUUGUGUCCAAGAAGAUGCUGCUUUAGUUGCUGAAGAGCUAUCUGCUAUGAAUUUGAAUCCUUACAGCCAUUCACUUCCCCUAUUCGGAGCUCUAGGAAAGUUCGUCUUAAAGAGCGACCGUCAGGUAAUAGUUAUAUUGGAUCCUCCAAUGCCGUACACAUAAUAUCUUCCAUUUGGUUUAAGAUCUGAAAUUCUAAUGCUAUGAAUUGUUUGGCCUCAUUUAGUCAAUAUUUCCAAAUUUUGAGAUACCGUAU